UAAGGUACUUUAAUUAUAGCUUCUUUAAUUCCAAGGAGAGCUCCGCUUGGAAAACAGAGGGACAAAUUGGAUGCAGAUCUGCUUGUUCUGAUACCUAAGCAUGGCUUGGAAAAUGAAUUACCAGGCCAUUUCCAG
This 135-nucleotide long non-coding RNA is filed under the name Bos indicus x Bos taurus (hybrid cattle). RNAcentral's name for it is "lncRNA (ENSBIXG00000011593.1)". The record is from RNAcentral. Lineage: Eukaryota; Metazoa; Chordata; Mammalia; Artiodactyla; Bovidae.